GACAAUCGCGGCCACCGCCAGGUGGAACGGCAGGUGGGUUCAGGUACCAGCCUGGCCUGGACCCGGCUGUGGGACCAACACUUCCGACUUGGAUUAUGACAUCGAAGAGGAUAAACUCGGAAUCCCGACUGUGCCUGGGAAGGUGACCCUGCAGAAGGAUGCUCAGAACCUGAUCGGGAUCAGCAUUGGAGGAGGGGCCCAGUACUGUCCCUGCCUCUAUAUCGUCCAGGUAUUUGACAACACUCCAGCGGCCUUGGACGGCACAGUGGCAGCUGGCGAUGAGAUCACCGGUGUCAAUGGCAGGUCAAUCAAAGGGAAAACUAAGGUGGAGGUGGCGAAGAUGAUUCAGGAGGUGAAGGGGGAGGUGACCAUCCACUACAACAAGCUGCAGGCGGACCCCAAGCAGGGCAUGUCCCUGGACAUUGUGUUGAAGAAAGUCAAGCACCGGCUGGUGGAGAACAUGAGUUCAGGGACUGCAGAUGCUCUGGGCCUGAGCCGGGCCAUCCUGUGCAAUGAUGGGCUUGUCAAGAGGCUAGAGGAGCUGGAGCGGACCGCCGAACUGUACAAAG
Molecule: small RNA, 569 nt
Filed under: Pongo abelii (Sumatran orangutan)
Lineage: Eukaryota; Metazoa; Chordata; Mammalia; Primates; Hominidae
Description: processed transcript
Source: RNAcentral